This 768-nucleotide ribosomal RNA is filed under the name Triticum aestivum (bread wheat). Its description in RNAcentral is "partial small subunit ribosomal RNA". The record is from RNAcentral. Lineage: Eukaryota; Viridiplantae; Streptophyta; Magnoliopsida; Poales; Poaceae.
AUGCUGAGAGCUUGUUCGCUAGAUUACGGAUCUAGUUGGGACGACAAUUUGCCAUAUGCAGAGUUCUCUUACAACAACAGUUACCAAACCAGUUUGAAAAUGGCCCCUUUCGAAGCCUUGUAUGGAAGGAGGUGCAGGACACUGUUAUCGUGGGAUAAAGUUGGAGAUCGCCAGUUUUUUGGAGCUAACUUGAUUAAAGAGUCUGAACAGAAGGUGAAAUUGAUUCGCGAUAGGCUCAAGGUAGCUCAGUCCAGACAGAAGAGUUAUGCAGAUUCUAAACGCAAGGAGACAGUUUACGAAGUCGGAGACCGAGUUUAUCUUCGAGUAUCUCCACUUCGGGGAACAAAGCGUUUUGGGGUUAAAGGAAAGUUAGUGCCACAAUUUGUAGGACCAUAUCGAGUUUUGGAGCGUAUUGGAGAAGUGGCCUACAAGUUGGAAUUGCCCGAAGGAUUGUCAGGAGUUCAUAAUGUGUUCCACGUUUCUCGGUUGAAGAAGUGCCACGUAGAGAUGGCUGACAUACCCUUGAGAGACACAGUGCCAUUGGAAAAAUUUCAGUUGGAUAACGAUUUGACCUAUGAGGAGAAACCAGUUAAGAUUCUCGAGUUUGCCAGCCGAAUCACUCGCAGCAAGGUUAUCAAGUUUUGCAAGGUUCAGUGGAGCCACCACACAGAGGAUGAAGCCACCUGGGAGCGAGAGGACGAUUUGCUCAAGGACCACCCUCACCUAUUUUCUAGCCAACCCGGAUCUCGAGGGCGAGAUUCAUCUUAA